AGCGUGGCCUAUCGAUCC
Molecule: small nuclear RNA, 18 nt
Filed under: Arabidopsis thaliana (thale cress)
Lineage: Eukaryota; Viridiplantae; Streptophyta; Magnoliopsida; Brassicales; Brassicaceae
Description: snRNA_18373
Source: RNAcentral